AGAGCACCUGGCCCUUAGAAGUCCACCUCUCCAGCCGGCCUCAGAGGUCUCCCCACAGGCUUCCAGAAGCCUUACUCCCCUUUUCUCUCUCUCAGGGCCCUGCGUGGUGGGCUAUGGGAUAUACUAUUUCAUCUACAGUACAUGGAAGGGACGCACCAUUUAUCUGGAGGAUAUCUAUGUGAUGCCGGAAUAUCGGGGUACUGGGCAGAAGCUGAGGCUGGGGUGGGAGCAAAGCACCCCACAGACCCCACUGUUAUCCCCUGUCCCCAGAGCCCAGCCGGUGUCAUUUUCUGAUCCCCUUCAGCUCAAACAAUAGCUAUUUUUUGCCUCUUUCUCUCCACAACAGGUCAAGGGAUUGGUUCCAAAAUAAUCAAAAAGGUGGCUGAGGUGGCCUUGGAUAAGGGCUGCUCCCAAUUCCGCCUGGCCGUCCUGGACUGGAACCAGAGGGCCAUGGACUUGUACAAGGCCCUAGGAGCCCAAGAUCUGACGGAAGCUGAGGGCUGGCACUUCUUCUGCUUUCAAGGAGAGGCAACGAGAAAGUUGGCAGGAAAGUGACGCCAUCCCUAGGAGGAUCUCUGUCUUGAGUUUCUCCUUCCCCAUCAGCUGAAGCACUCUUCAGAGACUACGUCCACAGACACUGAUGCUGAGGCCUCCCUGGAGGAAGGAGGGUUAGGGGUGCCUAUCCUCAAGUAUUGGAAGAGCAGAAUUGAGGGAGAGACCUUUCUUCCUUGUUGAGGGUGAAAAAUAAAUAAGAAUUACAUGUCC
This 765-nucleotide long non-coding RNA is filed under the name Homo sapiens (human). RNAcentral describes it as "non-protein coding lnc-SAT2-2:10". Lineage: Eukaryota; Metazoa; Chordata; Mammalia; Primates; Hominidae. The record is from RNAcentral.